AGUAAAAUGUUUGUUGAGCACACAAUGGUAUCAUCAGAGGGGACACCGUGUGCACCUUGCCUGUGAUGAGCCGCUGAGUGACGGUCCUCUGCCUCCUCGCCCAGCGCCCAGAUAGCCAGGUGUGCUGCCCGCUGGCUUUCUUACCUGAGGGAUGGGAUGAACAGACGGCUGAGUGGACAGACGGACGGAGAGAUGAACUCCUGCCGUUCCGCGUGCUGCCACUGAAUGGCGGGGUAUCACAGUCUUCUUGAAUGCCCAGUCCGUCUUCUGCGGGAGGAGGUGUGGCUGAGAUAGUCUUCAUCACGUGGGGGGUGUAAUGCACACUCCUUCCCCGCACUGGAGUGCCAUUUCCAGAACCUCCUGCUCGACGAGGGACAGAGGAACGGCGGGCUGUGUUCCCUUCUACCAGGCCCCCUC
This is a long non-coding RNA of Prionailurus viverrinus (fishing cat), 417 nucleotides long. RefSeq lists it as uncharacterized. The transcript is spliced from 3 exons. Lineage: Eukaryota; Metazoa; Chordata; Mammalia; Carnivora; Felidae. The record is from RefSeq and is a predicted model, not a curated record.